RNAcentral lists this ribosomal RNA (253 nucleotides) under uncultured bacterium. RNAcentral's name for it is "partial 16S ribosomal RNA". It matches the Rfam family "Bacterial small subunit ribosomal RNA", at positions 524 to 776 of the family's 1533-position model. The record is from RNAcentral.
UACGUAGGGUGCAAGUGUUAAUCGGAAUUACUGGGCGUAAAGCGUGCGUAGGCGGUUGUGUAAGACAGAUGUGAAAUCCCCGGGCUCAACCUGGGAACUGCAUUUGUGACUGCACAGCUGGAGUGCGGCAGAGGGGGAUGGAAUUCCGCGUGUAGCAGUGAAAUGCGUAGAUAUGCGGAGGAACACCGAUGGCGAAGGCAAUCCCCUGGGCCUGCACUGACGCUCAUGCACGAAAGCGUGGGGAGCAAACAGG